CUUUUCUUAGUUCCAGCUGCAAUCGAUGGAUACAUAACGGCAUUGGAAUCACUACUGUGAGCAAGCCCAAGUAGAUGUCCUAUUUCAUGAACAGCCACGGAUUCCAAGUCAAUUUGGUCCAUUGCGGGGUUAGUACUCCACUUCUCGUCAGCAUCAUAAUGGAAACGGCCAUUUUCUGGACUAAAAGCAUGGGCUAGUAUUUUCCCAGGUCCAUCAAAAGGAUAACCAUCCCCAUGAUCACCGCUGUAGAAUGCAAUAACAAUAUUUGCUGAUGCACCAUCAGAGGCCUCCUGGAAAGUUAAUGGAGAAACAUCUGACCACUUUUUGAAAGCAUCUGAGCAGACAGACCUCAAGGUGUCCAUAUCAACAACUUGGACACCAUCCGAGCCAAAUGUGUAGGUCAGAUGAUACUUGGAAGGUCGCCAUUUUGGCAUCCCAUUGAAGAACGUAUAAUGCAUCACCAUGUGGAACUUGGUGUAAUUUGAUUUAGUGUUGUUGGGUGUGAUAUCAUGCAUUCCACAUCGUGGAAUCAUCAUUUGUUUGAUGGUACUAUCGUCGAGGAUACCAGUAACAUUCAGAUGAAAAUAGUUCUGGUAUGUUUUGAGUGCAGACUCCAAGAGAUCAUCAAAAUCGCUGGUCAUGAGAUUGACAUCACUUGGAUAGUAUCCAAACCUUUUGAGGUAUUGUUUGAGCUCAACAAGUCCUUCCACAGUUUGGCCCUUUCGAACUCCCUCCAGCUUUUGAAGGGAGCUAAAAGAAUAUUGCUGAUGCUCGGAUUUCAAAAUCCUCGCCAGACCUAUGAAGGACUGGAUAGAAAAGAAGGUGAGGAUAGCUAACAAAAGA
This 843-nucleotide long non-coding RNA is filed under the name Populus trichocarpa (black cottonwood). RNAcentral describes it as "long non-coding RNA (PTRI_LNC003109)". The record is from RNAcentral. Lineage: Eukaryota; Viridiplantae; Streptophyta; Magnoliopsida; Malpighiales; Salicaceae.